RNAcentral lists this long non-coding RNA (840 nucleotides) under Papio anubis (olive baboon). Its description in RNAcentral is "lncRNA (ENSPANG00000044229.1)". Lineage: Eukaryota; Metazoa; Chordata; Mammalia; Primates; Cercopithecidae. The record is from RNAcentral.
CCGAACCAGUGUUUAUCUUACAUAUAUGGAUUGAUGUCUUGUGUCUCCCUAAAAUGUAUAAAACCAAGCUGUGCCCCGACCACCUUGGGCACAUGUCGUCAGGACCUCCUGAGGCUGUCACGGGCGCAUCCUCAACCUGGGCAAAAUAAACUUUCUAAAUUAACUGAGACCUGUCCCGGAUAUUUGGGGUUUACACUCUGUAGGAUAUAUACAAAUCUAUAUGUAAAUAUAAAUUUAUUUGUUUAUUCAUUUAUUUAAAGGAAUUGGCUGAUGUGAUUGUGGAGGUCAGCAAGUCCAAAAUCUUCGAGAUGUGCCGGCAGGCUGGUGAUCUGGGGAAGAGUUGCUGUCGUACCUGAACUCUGAGAGCCGUCUGCUGGCAGAAUUCUCUCUUCCUCGGAGGAGAAUCACCAUGAGAACAGCUGGGACUCAUUGACCAAUGGCAGCUGGAUGACCCGCAGUCGCCAUCCACUGAAUCCUUCCAGAAACACCUGCACGUGGAGGCAGGUGUUGCUGUCUCCCCAUUUUGCAGGUGGAGCAGGAGGGUGCACACACCACCGACAGCAUCAGCCUGUGGGGACACGGUGGGAGAAGCCAGGAGCCCAGCUGCUCACAGCAGGAUGGACAUGGCGAGACCGGGCAGGGCCCUGCAAAGCCUUCCCAGCCACUACUGUUAUACAAAAAACAGACGAUCUCCCUGCUUGGACGUCAGACCAAAAUAUCCUAUUCCCGGCGUACCUUGAGAGAGAAAUCAAAGGGGCUUGUUUACUCCCAAAUGAAAACUUCCAAAAUUCCAAAUCCUGCAGGAUUGGCUUAUUUCACUGUGAGGAAAAUGCAUGCUGA